RNAcentral lists this unclassified non-coding RNA (331 nucleotides) under Hevea brasiliensis (rubber tree). The record is from RNAcentral. Lineage: Eukaryota; Viridiplantae; Streptophyta; Magnoliopsida; Malpighiales; Euphorbiaceae.
GUUAGUGUAGUUUACACGAUUUAAGGAUUAGAUGGAUUUUUGGUGUUUGAAUUUUUGUGGUCAUGGAGCAUGGAUGAAACUAAUUUGAAGUUAAAAGUGAUGCAUUUUUGCAAUUAAUCAAGGUAAUAAGGUUUUACAAUUUUGUAUUUGGCCAAAUGAUCAUACUUUUGAUAUUUUUUUAAAGUUUGGCCAAAGCUUUUAACUUUGUGAAUGAAUUUUAAAAAAAUGAAAUUUUUAGCCAAAACUGAAAACGUAUGCUAAAAAAAAAAGGAAUGUUAUCAUUUUCCCCUUGUUUUUUAUUUGGUAUGUGGUAACACUAUCAAAUUAAAAA